UUCCGGUUGAUCCCGCCGGAGGCUACCGCUAUUGGAGUUCGAUUAAGCCAUGCGAGUCGCGAGUCUUAGGGACUCGGCGUACCGCUCAGUAACACGUGGGUAACCUGCCCUAUGCUGGGGGAUAACCUCGGGAAACUGAGAAUAAUACCCCAUAGUUCACCACGCCUGGAACGGUGGGUGGAUGAAAGCUCCGGCGGCAUAGGAUGGGCCUGCGGCGUAUCAGGUUGUAGGGGGUGUAAUGUACCCUCUAGCCCUCUACGCGUACGGGUGUUGAGAGACAUCGCCCGGAGAUGGAUUCUGAGACACGAAUCCAGACCCUACGGGGUGCAGCAGGCGCGAAAACUUGGCAAUGCGAGAAAUCGUGACCAGGGAACUCCAAGUGCAUCGGGUAAGACCGAUGCUUUUCUUGACUCUUCAAAGGUCUUGGAAUAAGGGGUGGGUAAGGACGGUGCCAGCCGCCGCGGUAAUACCGGCGCCUCAAGUGGUAGUCGCUUUUAUUGGGCCUAAAACGUCCGUAGCCGGUUUGGUACAUUCGUGGGUAAAUCAAGGCGCUCAACGUCUUGAAUUCUGCGAGCACGGCCAGACUUGGGACCGGGUGAGGUGUGGGGUACUCUCAGGGUAGGGGUAAAAUCCUGUCAUCCUGAGAGGACCACCUGUUGCGAAGGCGCCACACUAGAACGGAUCCGACGGUCAGGGACGAAGCCUAGGGGCACGAACCGGAUUAGAUACCCGGGUAGUCCUAGGUGUAAACGCUGUGGACUUGAUGUUGGGAGUGCUCCGAGCGCACUCAGUGUCGAAGCGAAGGUGAUAAGUCCACUGCCUGGGGAGUACGGUCGCAAGGCUGAAACUUAAAGGAAUUGGCGGGGGAGCACCGCAACCUGAGGAUUGUGCGGUUUAAUUGGAUUCAACGCCGG
RNAcentral lists this ribosomal RNA (914 nucleotides) under uncultured marine archaeon. Its description in RNAcentral is "bacterial SSU rRNA". It matches the Rfam family "Archaeal small subunit ribosomal RNA", at positions 1 to 921 of the family's 1478-position model. The record is from RNAcentral.